GAUGAACGCUGGCGGCGUGCUUAACACAUGCAAGUCGAACGAAGCACUUUAUUUGAUUUCCUUCGGGACUGAUUAUUUUGUGACUGAGUGGCGGACGGGUGAGUAACGCGUGGGUAACCUGCCUUGUACAGGGGGAUAACAGUUGGAAACGGCUGCUAAUACCGCAUAAGCGCACAGCAUCGCAUGAUGCAGUGUGAAAAACUCCGGUGGGAUAAGAUGGACCCGCGUUGGAUUAGCUAGUCGGUGAGGUAACGGCCCACCAAGGCGACGAUCCAUAGACGAGAUGAGAGGGUGACCCGCCACAUUGGGACUGAGACACAGUCCAAACUCCUACGGGAGGGAGGAGUGGGGAAUAUUGCACAAUGGGCGAAAGGCUGAAGGAGCGACGCCGCGUGAGCGAAGAAGUAUUGAGGGAUGUAAAGCUCUAUAAGCAGGGAAGAUAAUGACGGUACCUGACGAAGAAGCACCGGCUAAAUACGUG
This 481-nucleotide ribosomal RNA is filed under the name uncultured bacterium. RNAcentral's name for it is "partial 16S ribosomal RNA". It matches the Rfam family "Bacterial small subunit ribosomal RNA", at positions 28 to 507 of the family's 1533-position model. The record is from RNAcentral.